GAGGACCGUAUUCAUGGAAGAGGAUUGAACAGACUACUGAGUUCUUAAGAGAAAAAUGGCACUUAAGAAAUUGAUGGUGAUAUCAAAGGAAGGUUACUUAUUACUCUUGGACUUUGAUGAUGAGGACGAUGACAUAAAAGUUUCAGAGGAGGCUCUUGCGGAAGAGAUGAAGUAGACAGUAUGUUGGAUAAAUCUGGAGUAAAGAACCCAGCAAUUGGUAAAGAUGAGAAUAUAUCGCCUCAAGUAAAAGGAGAUGAAGACAUGGGAGAUGAAAUUGACAGUAUGUUGGCUACAUCUGGAGGUCUUUUCUCCUGAGAACACGGGACUCCAGCAUCUUCGGAUUCUGCUCUUGGAGGGGUUUGCCCCACAUCCUCUAUAUUGCAGAAAACAAGACUAGGCUCUACCUCUGUAGAUCAAGCACGACUGAAAUCCGUGCUCUCAAAAGAUGCUGGGGAGAAAGAGUGCCAUUCUUCACAAAUGCUGAUGUGUGCAGCUGAACAGAGCGUUGAGGAAACGUCAGUGAUUUUAUAACUACUUAUCAUGUUGGGAGAUUGUUGUGAUGAUUGCCUGGACUCUCAGAUGUUACACAGGCUGCAUCAUUGGACUGAAAGUGAAUGGCCCAUGUGUUGCCACUGAUGUGAGCCAUUUGCCUGUUGUGCUUCA
Molecule: non-coding RNA, 663 nt
Filed under: Mus musculus (house mouse)
Lineage: Eukaryota; Metazoa; Chordata; Mammalia; Rodentia; Muridae
Source: RNAcentral